UUUCCGUAGGUGAACCUGCGGAAGGAUCAUUGUCGUUGCCUCUCGAAAAACACGACCGUUGCACAAGUGACAGAAUGCUGCCGGAGAGGUGCUUGCUGCCUCCUCGGCCCCACCGGCCUCGUCCCUCUAGCCUUUUGGGCGAGUUGGAUGCUGGUCGGAAUACGGCGCGGGAUGACGCCAAGGAACACGAUAGAAGCUGAGGCACCGGCUGGCCGCUAAAGGGCUGGCGUCGGGUGCCAAGGCCAACGAAAAAAAUAUGACUCUCGGCAACGGAUAUCUCGGCUCUC
RNAcentral lists this unclassified non-coding RNA (287 nucleotides) under root metagenome. RNAcentral's name for it is "partial contains small subunit ribosomal RNA, internal transcribed spacer 1, and 5.8S ribosomal RNA". The record is from RNAcentral.